GAUGAACGCUGGCGGCGUGCCUAAUACAUGCAAGUCGAGCGAACAGACGAGGAGCUUGCUCCUCUGACGUUAGCGGCGGACGGGUGAGUAACACGUGGAUAACCUACCUAUAAGACUGGGGUAACUUCGGGAAACCGGAGCUAAUACCGGAUAAUAUAUUGAACCGCAUGGUUCAAUAGUGAAAGACGGUGUUGCUGUCACUUAUAGAUGGAUCCGCGCCGCAUUAGCUAGUUGGUAAGGUAACGGCUUACCAAGGCAAGGAUGCGUAGCCGACCUGAGAGGGUGAUCGGCCACACUGGAAGUGAGACACGGUCCAGACGCCUACGGGAGGCAGCAGUAGGGAAUCUUCCGCAAGGGGCGAAAGCCUGACGGAGCAACGCCGCGUGAGUGAUGAAGGUCUUCGGAUCGUAAAACUCUGUUAUUAGGGAAGAACAAAUGUGUAAGUAACUAUGCACGUCUUGACGGUACCUAAUCAGAAAGCCACGGCUAACUACGUG
This 497-nucleotide ribosomal RNA is filed under the name uncultured bacterium. RNAcentral's name for it is "partial 16S ribosomal RNA". It matches the Rfam family "Bacterial small subunit ribosomal RNA", at positions 28 to 507 of the family's 1533-position model. The record is from RNAcentral.